Rhododendron vialii is the source of this 2561-nucleotide long non-coding RNA. RefSeq lists it as uncharacterized. NCBI's taxonomy places the organism in Eukaryota, Viridiplantae, Streptophyta, Magnoliopsida, Ericales, Ericaceae. The transcript is spliced from 3 exons. The record is from RefSeq and is a predicted model, not a curated record.
UAUCUAUAUGAUCAAAAUCGCUCAACUUGUAGAGCUUGUCAAGAAGAUACACAAUGUCAAAGAUCAUUUGAAUCCAAUUCUGAAUGAUACAUAAUCGAAGAUGGUGAAAGCGAAUUUAUUUUCAUGAAAAUAGAUUUGGCUACACUGUAUCAGAGCCUCAUAUCAGCUACUCAUAUAUUCACUCCGACGAAGGGGCGUCGUAGGCGGAGAGGUUGUUCAGCAGAAAAGGAUUCUCUCACUUAACAGGUCACUUCUGAUCUUCCAUCCUUCAACCCAAUCUGAUACCCAUAAUGAUUCGAGCUAGUUGGCAUGUGACGUAGAAAGAAAACUAUGUGCUUCUAUCUACUUUCCUCCAAUUCCAUUCCUCAUCUUAUUCGGCAAUAGUUUGUUGAAUGCUAGGCAUUUAUCUUUCAGACUGACAACUUGAGAAUGUGCACCUCCUCAAGUUCCUUAUAGCUCCCAAGUUCAAACGGUACCUUUCAACCUUUCUUAGUGUUAGAGAUAUUAGGCCUGUACCAGAGCUUCACUUAACUCCUGCAGAGGUUGUUGACUGAAAGUAGCUCGUGUGAUGUGGCUGCAUUUUGAGGAUUAGCUCUUAGGGUAACUGAAUCUGUUACCUCUCUCUCUUCUGUAAUUGUAUAUUUGCUGAUAAAGGCUUGUCGGCAGUCAAUAAAAAUUCUAGUUCCACUCGUGCCAGCAAUUGUAUGUCAUGUUAGAGUUGAUGUAUAUCUUGAACCAGUGCUAAUGAAACCCUUCAAAACAACACCCGUUGCUGAGUGAGAUUUAUAAGGAUGCCUAAUCAACACCAAUUGUAUGUCAUGUCUGGAGUAAGAUUUAGAGAGAGAAGCUGAGUUGAUUUCAUCUAGAAAAUAAGGAAGUGAUUGCAGAGUGAGAUUGGAGGCAAGCGUGGAUCAGUCAUUCCGACUCAGGGUCUCCAUCAAGGUGAUGCUGUUUCUUAAAGUUGAGAGGGGAGAAUGUGCCCAAAUUCUGGAUAUUCUUGACAGCUACAAUGAAGCUUCGGGGCAGUUGGUAAAUUCCAGUAAAUCGGGAGUACGGUUUUCAUCCACUGUAGCCCUUUCAGUGCAAGAGGACCUAUGCUGUUUUCUGAAUAUGAAUCGUGUGGGGGAGGGAUGCAAGAUACCUGGGUCUUCCUGCCCUUUGGGGGCGGUCCAAGGCGGCCGGUUAUAAUUUCCUCUGGAAAAAGCUCUGCUCAAACUCCAAGGGUGGAAACAAAAGCUGUUAAAUUUUGUGGGGAAGGAAGUUUUCAUCAAAUCAGAGGUCCAAGUCAUCCCGUCCUACGCAAUGGCGUGCUUUAGUCUCGCCAAAAACUUUUGCGAUAAACUCAACUAUGUCUCUAAUCUCUGGUGGAUAGGUGACCCUGAAGGAAGAGGAGUGCACUGGACGUCAUGGCAGAGAAUGUCUGAGUCUAAAUUUUCGGGUGGUAUGGGAUUCCACGAUUUGAAAGCUUUCAAUAUGGCCAUGUUAGCUAAACAAGGCUGGAUGUUAACUCAAAAUCCACACUCUUUCUGGGGGCAUUAGCUUAAAGAUAUCUAUAGUCCCCAAUCCUCUUUUCUUAGUUCUUCAAAGGGGAGGAGGCCUUCUUGGGACUGGUAUAGUCUUCUCCAAGGGGGAGACCUCCUCCUUCAAGGGACCAGAUGGCAGGUCUCUGAUGGCGUGAUCCAUAAACAAAAACAUCUUCUGUUUGGAUGUGGGUGGACAAAUGCGGUGUGGUUUGGAAGUGAGGUGAAUUAUGUCAUGAAUCCUUUAGCCAUCUCGUCUGUCUUGAAGUGGACCAUUUUGACAAUGCGACUUGGAUUCAGCAGUAGAUCGAUAUCAAUUACUGGGUAAAUAUGCUUUUCUUGCUGGCAAAUAUGGAAGGCUCGCGAUGAUUGGGUCUUAAUUCUUUGCCAGUUAAAAUCCCUUGGAGGUUAUUCACAAAGCCUCUUUCUCAUGGUUUGAAUUCCAAGCGUGUAUGAGUUCUCCUGGCGUGAGAGAGAAUGCAGCUCUGUACGAUGCUAACAGGUCCCAUUGGUCUCUUCCUAGCUCCAGCUGUUGGCAGUUUUUAAGGUUAAUUGUGAUAUUGCGCUGAGUCGUGGGGGCACAAGGAUGGCUGUAGCAGCAGUGUUACGAGACUGGAGGGGGAAAGUGGUGGACGGUGCGACAAGUGUGGGGUUUGCUUCAUUUUUGCUUCAAGGGGAAACUAUGGCUGUGAGGCUAGCGGGCAGACUAUUGCAUUCUAACAACAUUUCAAACGCAGUAGUCGAAGGUGAUAACAGGACAGUCAUCCAACUUUGUUUCAAUGAAAACGUUUCUUCACGUGAAUGUGCAGCCAUUAUAGGCGAUGUUAAGGACUUAAUUUCUUCUUGUAAUUUUUCUUUAUCUUGGGAUAGGGCUGCCCAUUGGGUGGCGACCUCGUGGCUUAGGGAUGUUCUACCAUCUGACUGGGUGGGUAAUCCCCCCUUUCGUUUUCCUCUUUUUGUACAGUUGAUGCCUCUGCUGAGGUUGGUACUUAAUGAAAUUUUAUGCCGUUAAAAAAGCAGCAGCAUAUAUUGGUUCUUUCU